AUGUAGCCACUAUGUACACUACAGCUUCUUGGAGCCACAGUCUGUGUAACCCUGAAAGGCUGUGCCAGGAAAGCCAGCCCAAGUUCUGGAAAAUCCUGUCCAGAUGGAAAGGCUUUAGAUGCAGACCCAACAACCAAAGAAAUUCAUGAAGACCAUCUACCAUAAGCACAGAAGGAUCAUGAAAUGUGCCAGACAAGGGGCAGCUCCUGCCAUAUUCCCAGGAAUUCAAACCAACCAAAUUACCUUCAGGGCAUCUCCAACUGCUGAAAAUCUACCUCCCAGGACUCACCAAGCAGUGACUCCAAACCUAUCUGAUAGCAACUGCCCUACUUGCUGAGAGUUAAUUAGGAGUUGUCUUUGUCCUCUUAAUGAGAGGAGAAGGUUGUUCAAUACCAGCAUAUCACUGGUGUCACCUCUUCUAUUAGGAAUACAGAAGUAUUUCCAAUUGGAAAAUGAUGGCACACACCGUGGAGAAGAUGGAGGUGGUACAUCAAAGGUAAAACCAAGCAGUAUCUCCUGAAGAGAGAAAAGAAAAGAAGAGUGGAAAGUGAUUAGAAGUUUUCAUUCCUCUAGGAGAAUUUCCCACAAAUAACCACUGAAUAAACCUAAUAUUUAUAUUAGAACUUUGCCUUGAAUCUGCUAAUUGUUAUCAGUCACAUGCACAGGUAAUGCCAAGUUGUUUAUUUUGUUUCAGUUUGGUUUUUUGUUCAUUCCUGUGAGUUUAUUGGUGUUGGGAACUCCUUGUUCUUGGUCCUUCAUUCUUGAAGAGGACCAUGACAUCAGGAAGGUGAUGCCAUGACUUGCAAGC
Vombatus ursinus (common wombat) is the source of this 808-nucleotide long non-coding RNA. RefSeq lists it as uncharacterized. The record is from RefSeq and is a predicted model, not a curated record. NCBI's taxonomy places the organism in Eukaryota, Metazoa, Chordata, Mammalia, Diprotodontia, Vombatidae. The transcript is spliced from 4 exons.